UAAUACAUGCAAGUCGAACGCGUCUCCGUUAAUGAUUUUAGGUGCUUGCACUUGAAAGAUUUAACAUUGAGACGAGUGGCGAACUGGUGAGUAACACGUGGGUAACCUGCCCUUGAAGUAGGGGAUAACACUUGGAAACAGGUGCUAAUACCGUAUAACAACCAAAACCACCUGGUUUUGGUUUAAAAGACGGCUUCGGCUGUCACUUUAGGAUGGACCCGCGGCGUAUUAGCUUGUUGGUAAGGUAACGGCCUACCAAGGCGAUGAUACGUAGCCGACCUGAGAGGGUAAUCGGCCACAUUGGGACUGAGACACGGCCCAAACUCCUACGGGAGGCAGCAGUAGGGAAUCUUCCACAAUGGACGAAAGUCUGAUGGAGCAACGCCGCGUGAGUGAUGAAGGGUUUCGGCUCGUAAAACUCUGUUGUUGGAGAAGAACAGGUGUCAGAGUAACUGUUGACAUCUUGACGGUAUCCAACCAGAAAGCCACGGCUAACUACGUGCCAGCAGCCGCGGUAAUACGUAGGUGGCAAGCGUUGUCCGGAUUUAUUGGGCGUAAAGCGAGCGCAGGCGGUUUUUUAGGUCUGAUGUGAAAGCCUUCGGCUUAACCGGAGAAGUGCAUCGGAAACCGGGAGACUUGAGUGCAGAAGAGGACAGUGGAACUCCAUGUGUAGCGGUGAAAUGCGUAGAUAUAUGGAAGAACACCAGUGGCGAAGGCGGCUGUCUGGUCUGUAACUGACGCUGAG
RNAcentral lists this ribosomal RNA (745 nucleotides) under Lentilactobacillus buchneri. Its description in RNAcentral is "bacterial SSU rRNA". It matches the Rfam family "Bacterial small subunit ribosomal RNA", at positions 49 to 750 of the family's 1533-position model. The record is from RNAcentral. Lineage: Bacteria; Bacillati; Bacillota; Bacilli; Lactobacillales; Lactobacillaceae.